CCUACGGGGGGCAGCAGUGGGGAAUAUUGCGCAAUGGGCGAAAGCCUGACGCAGCGACGCCGCGUGAGGGAUGAAGGUCUUCGGAUCGUAAACCUCUGUCAGCAGGGAAGAACGGUCACUGUGCUAACUAGCAGUGAAUUGACGGUACCUGCAAAGGAAGCACCGGCUAACUCCGUGCCAGCAGCCGCGGUAAUACGGAGGGGGCGAGCGUUAAUCGGAAUUACUGGGCGUAAAGCGCACGUAGGCGGUAUGGCAAGUCAAUGGUGAAAUCCCCGAGCUCAACGUGGGAACUGCUUUUGAUACUGGCAUACUGGAGUGUGUGAGAGGAUAGUAGAAUUCCUGGUGUAGGAGUGAAAUCCGUAGAUAUCUGGAGGAACACCAGUAGCGAAGGCGACUAUCUGGCACAUAACUGACGCUGAGGAGCGAAAGCGUGGGUAGCAAACAGGAUUAGAUACCCCAGUAGUC
This 465-nucleotide ribosomal RNA is filed under the name uncultured bacterium. RNAcentral describes it as "partial 16S ribosomal RNA". It matches the Rfam family "Bacterial small subunit ribosomal RNA", at positions 338 to 795 of the family's 1533-position model. The record is from RNAcentral.